UCCACGUGGAAAGUUCCUAUUAAUACACACACGCGCUCUGGCUUGCUCCACACACCGGAAGCGAUACCGACUCCCUGGAGCUUCUAUUUAUACUCAUUUAUCAGCGAAUUUUUCAAACUGAAUUAUGCGAUUGCCAGCGUCACUUCGCCGACGUCACCGAACGCGAUAAUUACAUAAAAGCGUGUCUUCUGCAAAAUGCUACAAAUUCUUAGCAAACAAUAGCGUCAACGUUAUGCAAAAGGCCUUAAUGUCACCAAAUACCGACAGGAACACCCGAGAAAAUAAAUAAAUCAUGUUUAACUCACUAAAACAGCGAGAAAAUUGACCACAUUUAAGAUUUUUUGCUAAAGGAUCUGUUGUUCUACCCGCUAAGUGAGUUUAUUUUGCACCGCCCACGCCCCAGCAAAAAUUAUUGUGGAGGUAGAUUUGUAAAAACAAACCACUGAUGGCGUCAAUCUGUAUCAAUGGCUUAAAAUACAAUUUACGUCGCAUUUAAUUAAUUCCACCUGAUCGAUCUUUUCAAACGUUACAAACUUUUGGAUAUCAUGGAAACUGGAGCUGGAUCCUUGCCGUAAGUUGCUAAUUAAAUGGAGCGCGUGGGCAGGAGCAAAAUGUAUUGUUAGGGUGCGGAUAAGGGAAACCAAAAAUGAGAUUUUUACGCAAUGUCUUGAGUUACAACUCGAUCGAAUGACAAGUUAGAUAAGGUCUGACGUUGAUUUUUUGCAUUUUUGAAUUGUUUCAUCUUUAUAUUUAACGCCAAACAAAGCCUUCAAAUUUUUGCAUUGUGUUAUGUUAAUCUCAAGAGCGAAGCUCAUAAAUAGUAAACACUAAAUUUAAUAACACCUUGUUUAUGUGUGAAACAGCUCCAUAUUGACUCAUCAAAUCAAUCAUCGUAAUUAUCAAUGAAUCAUUUAAGAGGCACCUGAGAAGAUUCAAAUUUACACUUGGUUUUUGGACAAUUCCGAGUUUGCGAAAACUGUUUAUUUGAGUAAAAUGUGUGGGUUGGAAGAAUAACUAAACGCAAAAGUUGCGUUCAGCGAACCUCAAGGGAUUCGAAAAAGUAAUAUUUUAAUUAACAUCGGAGUUGUUUUCAGGAGAAUUUUACAAAUUUGUUUUAUCGCAUCCUUCCUACGGUAUGGGCGCCCACGCUUAGUGAAGCUUUAACAAUAUUAUUGCCAAGUCGUCUCUCCACCCAACUAUUUACAAAUAGAACAAAAUUGGACAAAGUACGAGGACUUGAAACGUGUUUAACAAAGACGUUUUAAUAAUAUCAUCUUUUCAGGAGAUAUUGAUUUUGUCAAGAAAAAAACAUAGGUUGUAUUUUUAAAUUACAGAAUAAAGUAACAAAUAAAUGCAAAUUAGAUUUAAGUAAUUUGUUAGGUAAUCAAGGUGUAAUUGAUUUUUUCUAGUUAAUAUCCAAAAAGUCUGAAAAAUACCAUUUAUAACUGGUAGAAAUAGUGUUAGUAUUCAGCCACUGAUGUAUCAAAAAAUAAAAAACCAAAAUUGAUAUCGCAACGCAUUUCGAAUUUAUGUUAUUAUUAGUUUUUUUACAUUCUAAAAAAUGAGACUAUGAUUUAUUUUUAAUUUAUACUUUUAACUGUCCACUCACUUGUAGGUAAACGAAAAAUAAAUCAGGAAUUCCUGAGCAAUGUAUCAGUAGUAUAAGCGAACAAUUAGUGCUAAUGAGGUCAUUAUCUAAUGACCGCUGCAACUUUCUCUUAAUGACCGCUACACUUUGGCCGCUACAAUUUUGCUAUAUGUCAUACAAUAUAUAAGACCAAAGAAAAUUUAGGAAAAUAUUCAGUGUUGUUCUCGUGUUUGUUCUUGAAGAAGACGUCUUGGUGUAUUGUGAAAUUAAGAUGCCUGGAAAACGUGUAUCUUCUAUGCCAUUGAAAAAAUCAUCUCCGAAGCGUUUUAAAAGCCCCAGGUGAUGGUGGAUGUGUAGAAGAAGAGGAAAUUAGUGCUUCGCAAGUUCCAUCGGUUCCGAAGUCGUCUUUGUCAGCAUUUCCAGCUGCUUCACCACCACCACCACCACCAUCGCAAUCCAUAGAAUUAGCGAGAGUAUCUGAAAUAGGUCUUAGCCAAGCUGCAUCCCCCAAGUCGCCUCAGCCUAUCCACGCUGAAGAAGACAUCAUAACACCAGCUGAAUGGUCGGAUCCUGUGUUGGAGCGAUCGUUGAUGGAAAUGGCCGACAACAUCGAGAAAAAUGAAGCUGAGAGAAGUGAGAAAGAUGAAGCUGAGAGAACGGCUCGGAUGGUGAUCAAUGAGAAGUUUCGUUUAAUUCAUGAAGUGGUGUAUCCUAUAACUAAGUCUGGUAGCAAACUUUUAUCGAUUGGAGUAAAACCACUCCAUGAUUUUGUGCCGUUGUUGAAGAUACAUAAUCCAGAAUUAACAUCGGCGAUAAGUUUUUCUAUUGAAACCUUUGAAGAGUUUUUAAAAGAAAUGAGCAAGAUCUUUGAAUCAAGAGAGGAGGACGAAGAAGUAGAAGAAAUUAGUGUUCCAGAAGGUCAGAUGUUGUGUAUGCUAAGUGGCUACGUCGUGGUGGUUUGUAGAUAUAAUACUCUUCAAUUUAUACCUAGUCAACCCAGCGUGUACAAGGGCAUUUAUUUAUCAUUGAACACAAUUAAAACUGUCGUAAAUAUGGGCGAGCAUUUAUUGAAUCUGCUUCAUGCAAGAAGAAUUCAAUAUAAAUUCUAUCCAUGUUACGAUAGUUUUAUAAAUAAUGUUGCGCUUGAUGUUAUGGAGAAUGGAUGUAAAAAUUUAUCUCAAAAAUUGUAUGAUAUUAUUAAGAAUCGGUAUGAACAAAAUGCAACCUUGUAUGAGAUAGUUUUGAAACUGCCUGUGAAUGUAAAAACUGCUGUCGAAAAUAGAAUACAAUAUUAUAGGGAAAAUAAUGAUUAUAACUGUCUGUGAUAAUAAAUAAUUAAAUAAAAUGUA
Tribolium castaneum (red flour beetle) is the source of this 2937-nucleotide long non-coding RNA. RefSeq lists it as uncharacterized. The record is from RefSeq and is a predicted model, not a curated record. NCBI's taxonomy places the organism in Eukaryota, Metazoa, Arthropoda, Insecta, Coleoptera, Tenebrionidae. The transcript has 2 exons.